Molecule: ribosomal RNA, 459 nt
Filed under: uncultured bacterium
Lineage: Bacteria
Description: partial 16S ribosomal RNA
Rfam family: Bacterial small subunit ribosomal RNA
Source: RNAcentral
CUACGGGGGGCACCAGUGAGGAAUAUUGGUCAAUGGUCGCAAGACUGAACCAGCCAUGCCGCGUGCAGGAAGACGGUCCUAUGGAUUGUAAACUGCUUUUAUACAGGAAGAAACCCUCCCACGUGUGGGAGCUUGACGGUACUGUAGGAAUAAGGAUCGGCUAACUCCGUGCCAGCAGCCGCGGUAAUACGGAGGAUCCAAGCGUUAUCCGGAAUCAUUGGGUUUAAAGGGUCCGUAGGCGGCCUUAUAAGUCAGUGGUGAAAGCCCAUCGCUCAACGAUGGAACUGCCAUUGAUACUGUAAGGCUUGAAUUUUUGUGAAGUAACUAGAAUAUGUAGUGUAGCGGUGAAAUGCUUAGAUAUUACAUGGAAUACCAAUUGCGAAGGCAGGUUACUAACAAACGAUUGACGCUGAUGGACGAAAGCGUGGGGAGCGAACAGGAUUAGAUACCCGCGUAGUC